Ailuropoda melanoleuca (giant panda) is the source of this 3177-nucleotide long non-coding RNA. RefSeq lists it as uncharacterized. The record is from RefSeq and is a predicted model, not a curated record. The transcript has 5 exons. NCBI's taxonomy places the organism in Eukaryota, Metazoa, Chordata, Mammalia, Carnivora, Ursidae.
UUGCACCCUUGGCGAUUUCUCUACCACCCAGAGCAAUAACCCAGAAAAUGGCUUACCUGGGGGGCAUUUACCCCCAGCCCCAUCGUGCGCUACAGUGUUUACAAAAUAAAUAUAUAAAUAUGCUCUCUGAGCCACCUCUCUGCUCUAAAAGUCCCUGUGCCUCUGAGCUGCCGGGCGGAGUCCCGCAGACGUCAGCGUCUAACCCCAGGCGAGAACUCACCACCCCUGGAGCCGGGUUCAGCUCAGGAAGGAGUGCUGGCUAUUGGAUGGACAGUCAGCCCCUAUGCUGAACCCAGAACAGUUUCAGUGGUGGCCUGAUUGCAAUUCAUUGCCUUUCACUGGGCCCAGCUCGCCAACUUUCCAAGAAGAAUGAUGGCACGGAUGGCUUGAGAAGUAUCUGGAGAAUGCUAGAGAGAAGUUCGAGGAUCUAAAAUUGUUCUGUAGGUAUUUAUCAAGAACAAAACGUGUACCCGAACUCUGUGAGGCCAUAAAGAUGAAGGGAUUGGUCAGCUGAACCUCUACCCUUAAGACCCAUGCAGGCUGGUGAAAGAAACAGGUGCCUACAUUCUAAGUUAAAAUGAAUUUUUGGAUGCAAAAAGGUUAUCGAACUACAUAAAGAAUUAUCUCUUAAGCAAUAGCUUCAUGAAAAAUGUAGAGUAAUAAUAAUGGAGUUGGAAUUCAUUAAUUACAUCUAAAGUCUAUAGCUGGAUCCAGAGCUGUUUCCGGAUUGAAGGAAUUUCCAGAACCUUUUGAUACUGGGUCUGCGGAUGACAAAAUUUGGGCAUUCUAUUAGGCACUUGAGGAGCCUACCCUCUUCUUUCACCUAAAUAAAAGAAAUUCCAACCUGUCCAAAGAUGCACCUUGUGGGGACCCUGCGGUCAAGACCAAGACUUUCUCAAGAAGUCAUCUUGGUUUUGCUCAAAUGCUCUGAGGGGUGCUUGAGUGGAUUGUACAGGUGGACAGGGGUGGCUGGCUGACUGACCACAGCGAGCCAUGCCAUCGGAGUUAAGGAAGAGAGAUACCAUCCCUUUCUGAUGGUAGAGAGUUUCUUAGAAAGUAAACAAUUGCAGACAAUCUUCACAACAGCUCUCUUAUCCCCCUGAUCUCAUUACUCCUUGUUAGCACAAACCAUUUAGGACAGUUAUAGUGAAAGUCCUGAUAAGGAGGAAGUGAUCACUUUCAAACUAAUCUAGCAUAUCUGUCAUGACAUGGUGAUAAACAAGGACCGUCUAACUAUUAAGUAAUCAAUGACAUUGAUUUGGAAUUAGAGAUAUAGUAUUAGUUCCUCCUUGACUAUCUCUCCCACCAGCCACCACACACACACACACACACACACACACACACGUGCAUGUGCACACACACACACACACACACACACAAAGACAUUAACUAAAUUGAGUCUGGUUUUUUUUUUCUUUCUUUUUUUUCCCCCUGUACCGAUUGCAUCCAGUAUUUCUCUUUAUCAGAGAAUUUACCACAUGAUGUUGAAAUUAACUGUCCAUGUGUCAUCUUCUUCACUAAACUAUAACCCCUCAAAGAUAGGAUCAACAUAUUGUCCCUCAGGGGCGCUGUUAAGUGGUUGUCUCUUGAUUUCAGCUCAGGUCAUGAUCUCAGGGUCCUGGGAUUGAGCCCCAUGUCGGACUCUGCACUCAGCAGGGAGUUGGCUGGAGAUUCUCUCUCCCUCUCCCUCUGCCCCUGCCCCUGCUCUCACACACUCUCUGUUUCUGUCAAAUAAGUAAAUAAAUCUAAAGAAACAAACAUAUUAUCCCCUGAAAACCCUACUGACCAGCACAAAAAUUUCUUCACAAAUGGGGUGAGUAUAGCAAGUCUAGACUAGUUUCAUGGAUACGCAAUCAUGCCAUACUCACAGAUGAGUCUGACUAGGUGUUUCCUUCUUUAAUAUAACCUAUUCUUUUUAGAUGAGUGGCCCAUAAGAAACCUACAUGCGUCUUUUCAGGAGGAAUAUAACUUUGAAACAUAAUUAGAAUAAUACAAACCUACAACAACCCAGGUCAGGCUCUUUUGUGAAUUCUCUCAAACCUGAGAAAAUCUGAAUAAUGAUUACAUGCCAGAAAUGAACAAAUAAAUAAUUUUUUUUACUAUCACCUGAGUUUAGGGUCCCCAAUCCACUCUGAGUUCAACCAAAAUUCCUUGCUUUAUGCCUGGAAAAGGAAGAGAUUCACACUCCAUGUAAAAGGGAAUUCACUUUCUAAAAUCUUUAUUCCUCACAUGCCAAUAAUAUGAAUUUCUCCAAAAAUGACUAAGAAAUUGGACUCUUUACUCCUUGAUUUGCAUCCUAACAUUCCUCCCCCAAACGGUUUUUAGACAUUGGAAUACUAUAUUCUAGAACAGCACUCUCCAACAGAAAAAUAAUGUAAGCCAUAUUUGUAAUUUUAAAUUCUCUAGUAACCUAAUUAAAAAAUAAAAAGAGAUGGGUGAACUUUAUGAUAAUAAUGUAUUUUCUUUAACUCAGUAUCUCCAAAAUACUAUCACUUUAACAUGUAAUCAGUAUAAAAUUAUUCAGGAGAUAUUUUGCAUUUUUUUCCUUUGUACUAGUUGUUUGAAAUUCAUUAUGUAUUUUAUACUUAUAGCACACUCAAUUUGGACCAGUUACACUUCAGGGCUCAAUGACGCAUGCGGUGGGGAGCUACUGUAUUGAACAACAAAUCUAUGAAGCCCCUCACAUCAGAAAAAGCUAUCUGUGUUCUCCUGGCAUAUAUGGUUUUGUUGAGAAGAUAUUAGCACCAGAAUUGAUGGGUCUUAUAGUGCUGAGUGGAGAUAUAAUAUUUGAUAAGUAAUAGUUACCAAGUUCUUAACAUGUUCUAAGCUUUCUUGUAGGCACUGGCAAUAUAGUGGUGAGCAAAAGAGUCAAAAUGUCCUUCCUCCCAGAGCUAACACUCUGGUAGUGGGAGACAGACAAUAAUCUAGGCAAACACUUAAACUUAUUUUAAUGUCAACAGAUAAUAGGGGAAAAAAUUAAAGUUGGAUGAAGAGGAUACAAAACGUUGAGGUAGGAAUUUAGGUUUUACAGCUAGUUGCCAGGGAAGAUCUCAUGGAGUGGGUCAUGCUUUGUUAAAGACUUUCACGUUGGCAAUAUUCCAAGAAAAUUAUGGUCUUGGAUAACUUUUAUUUUUAUUUUGGUAAAAAGAUCAAUGAUGAAAGGUACAAAUUAUGUGA